UGCAGUCGAGCGAAUCAAUGGGAGCUUGCUCCCUGAGAUUAGCGGCGGACGGGUGAGUAACACGUGGGUAACCUGCCUGUGAGACUGGGAUAACUUCGGGAAACCGGAGCUAAUACCGGAUAGUUUCUUUUCUCGCAUGAGAGAAGAUGGAAAGAUGGUUUCGGCUAUCACUUACAGAUGGACCCGCGGCGCAUUAGCUAGUUGGUGAGGUAAUGGCUCACCAAGGCGACGAUGCGUAGCCGACCUGAGAGGGUGAUCGGCCACACUGGGACUGAGACACGGCCCAGACUCCUACAGGAGGCAGCAGUAGGGAAUCUUCCGCAAUGGACGAAAGUCUGACGGAGCAACGCCGCGUGAGCGAAGAAGGCCUUCGGGUCGUAAAGCUCUGUUGUUAGGGAAGAACAAGUACGAGAGUAACUGCUCGUACCUUGACGGUACCUAACCAGAAAGCCACGGCUAACUACGUGCCAGCAGCCGCGGUAAUACGUAGGUGGCAAGCGUUGUCCGGAAUUAUUGGGCGUAAAGCGCGCGCAGGCGGUCCUUUAAGUCUGAUGUGAAAGCCCACGGCUCAACCGUGGAGGGUCAUUGGAAACUGGGGGACUUGAGUGCAGAAGAGAAGAGUGGAAUUCCACGUGUAGCGGUGAAAUGCGUAGAGAUGUGGAGGAACACC
This 670-nucleotide ribosomal RNA is filed under the name uncultured bacterium. RNAcentral describes it as "bacterial SSU rRNA". It matches the Rfam family "Bacterial small subunit ribosomal RNA", at positions 56 to 710 of the family's 1533-position model. The record is from RNAcentral.